RNAcentral lists this ribosomal RNA (206 nucleotides) under uncultured bacterium. RNAcentral's name for it is "partial 16S ribosomal RNA". It matches the Rfam family "Bacterial small subunit ribosomal RNA", at positions 568 to 774 of the family's 1533-position model. The record is from RNAcentral.
UGUGUAGGCGGCGCCGUAAGUCAGGUGUGAAAUUUCGAGGCUUAACCUCGAAACUGCAUUUGAUACUGCGGUGCUUGAGGACUGGAGAGGAGACUGGAAUUUACGGUGUAGCGGUGAAAUGCGUAGAUAUCGUAAGGAAGACCAGUGGCGAAGGCGGGUCUCUGGACAGUUCCUGACGCUGAGACACGAAGGCCAGGGAGCAAACG